RNAcentral lists this ribosomal RNA (548 nucleotides) under fungal endophyte. Its description in RNAcentral is "eukaryotic LSU rRNA". The stretch from base 175 to 328 matches the Rfam family "5.8S ribosomal RNA". The record is from RNAcentral. Lineage: Eukaryota; Fungi.
CGAAUGGGAAGCGGCCGGCGCACCCAGAAACCCUUUGUGACUUAUACCUUACUGUUGCCUCGGCGUACGCUGGAUGAAGGGGUCCCUCUGUUCUACAGAGGAGCAGGCGCGCCGGCGGCCAAGUUAACUCUUGUUUUUACACUGAAACUCUGAGAAAAAAACAAAAUGAAUCAAAACUUUCAACAACGGAUCUCUUGGUUCUGGCAUCGAUGAAGAACGCAGCGAAAUGCGAUAAGUAAUGUGAAUUGCAGAAUUCAGUGAAUCAUCGAAUCUUUGAACGCACAUUGCGCCCUCUGGUAUUCCGGAGGGCAUGCCUGUUCGAGCGUCAUUUCAACCCUCAAGCCUGGCUUGGUGUUGGGGCACUGCCUGUAAAAGGGCAGGCCCUCAAAUCUAGUGGCGAGCUCGCCAGGACCCCGAGCGUAGUAGUUAAACCCUCUUUUUGGAAGGCCCUGGCGGUGCCCUGCCGUUAAACCCCCAACUCUUGAAAAUUUGACCUCGGAUCAGGUAGGAAUACCCGCUGAACUUAAGCAUAUCAAUAAGCGGAGGAA